CAGAGUUAGGAAAAUUCUAUCCUCUUAGUCAAAAUUUAUCUGAUGAAGUUCAUUAUAAUCGUUAAUAAGUGGAAAUAAAUGAAAAUUAGUAUAAAUCUUUCCAGAGCAAAACUUUUGCUUGCUAAAAUCUGCUAUUGAAGCCUUCUGUGGAUUUCUCCCCAUCCCUGGACAGGCCCUGGUGUGUGACGUUCCCUCCCUGUGUCCAUGUGUUCUCAUUACAAUGCAGUAUUUUAAGAACAUUUUGUGUUAGCCCUCUUGCAUCAGCAAGCCACACCAGGAAAGCAGGUUUCUGUCCCCAUGGCUGCCACUUUGCUGGGAAAUGGGGGACAUUAGGGCCCAGGUGUAAAAGAAACCCUUAUCUCGGACAUGCCCUUUCCAUCACAGAGUGGAGACAGUAUGGGCAAAACCACCUGGUGAUUCUUGGAUACAGUGAAGUCACAUUACAAAAGCUAAUGACAAUGAUUUGAGGAAAUUGAAUUCUCACAGGGA
RNAcentral lists this long non-coding RNA (489 nucleotides) under Macaca fascicularis (crab-eating macaque). Its description in RNAcentral is "lncRNA (ENSMFAG00000052420.1)". Lineage: Eukaryota; Metazoa; Chordata; Mammalia; Primates; Cercopithecidae. The record is from RNAcentral.